GGGUGCGAUCAUACCAGCACUAAUGCACCGGAUCCCUUCAGAACUCCGCAGAACCGUGCUGGGGCGAGAGUAGUACUAGGAUGGGUGACCUCCUGGGAAGUCCUCGUGUUGCACCCC
This 117-nucleotide ribosomal RNA is filed under the name Gossypium raimondii (Peruvian cotton). The record is from RNAcentral. Lineage: Eukaryota; Viridiplantae; Streptophyta; Magnoliopsida; Malvales; Malvaceae.